This 556-nucleotide ribosomal RNA is filed under the name uncultured eukaryote. Its description in RNAcentral is "eukaryotic LSU rRNA". It matches the Rfam family "Eukaryotic large subunit ribosomal RNA", at positions 1067 to 1607 of the family's 3401-position model. The record is from RNAcentral.
GAACGGGCAAGGAGCCGGGGUCGCCCGAUCGGACCCCGGACGUGAAGUCGACGAUGGUCGGUGGGCUGGUUUUGGUAAGCAGAACGGGCGAUUCGGGAUGAACCGGAAGCGGGGAGAAAGGGCCCGAGAUUGCGUCGACGCGGAUCCCGAAAAGGGCGUCGAUCCGUCGCGACAGCGGGACGGUGGUCAUGGAAGUCGAAAUCCGCUAAGAAGCGUGUAAAAACGUACCCGCCCAACGGAUCGGCCCCGAAAAUUGAUGGCGCUCGAACGCAACCCUCGAACCCCGCCGACGGAGGCUAGGGGAGGCCCCGUCGAGUAGGCGGACGCGCGGGUCGCUUCGACGCUCCCGCGCGAGCGGGGGCGGAGCGGCCCGUGGUGCAGAUCUUGGUGGUAGUAGCGAUCACCCAGGCGAGAACCCUGAGGGCCGAAGUGGAGAAGGGUUUCUCGAGAACGGCACUCGCUCGAGAGUUAGUCGAUCCUAAGCUGCCGGCGGCAGCCACGAAACGGUCGAUCGGGCGCGAGCCCGGCAGCCACGACCGGGCAGCGAAGGAUGGAC